Molecule: ribosomal RNA, 254 nt
Filed under: uncultured bacterium
Lineage: Bacteria
Description: partial 16S ribosomal RNA
Rfam family: Bacterial small subunit ribosomal RNA
Source: RNAcentral
UACGGAGGGUGCGAGCGUUGUCCGGAAUCAUUGGGCGUAAAGGGCGCGUAGGUGGCCCGGUCAGUUCGUGGUGAAAGCGCGGGGCUCAACCCUGCGUCGGCCAUGAAUACUGCCGCGGCUGGAGCACUGUAGAGGCAGGCGGAAUGCCGGGUGUAGCGGUGGAAUGCGUAGAGAUCCGGAAGAACACCGGUGGCGAAGGCGGCCUGCUGGGCAGUUGCUGACACUGAGGCGCGACAGCGUGGGGAGCAAACAGG